RNAcentral lists this ribosomal RNA (164 nucleotides) under Lilium nanum var. nanum. Its description in RNAcentral is "5.8S ribosomal RNA". It matches the Rfam family "5.8S ribosomal RNA". Rfam says of the family: 5.8S ribosomal RNA (5.8S rRNA) is a component of the large subunit of the eukaryotic ribosome. Lineage: Eukaryota; Viridiplantae; Streptophyta; Magnoliopsida; Liliales; Liliaceae. The record is from RNAcentral.
UAUAUGACUCUCGGCAACGGAUAUCUCGGCUCUCGCAUCGAUGAAGAACGUAGCGAAAUGCGAUACUUGGUGUGAAUUGCAGAAUCCUGUGAACCAUCGAGUCUUUGAACGCAAGUUGCGCCCGAGGUCUUUCGGUUGAGGGCACGCCUGCCUGGGCGUCACGC